Long non-coding RNA from Antechinus flavipes (yellow-footed antechinus), 5948 nucleotides. RefSeq lists it as uncharacterized. NCBI's taxonomy places the organism in Eukaryota, Metazoa, Chordata, Mammalia, Dasyuromorphia, Dasyuridae. The transcript is spliced from 4 exons. The record is from RefSeq and is a predicted model, not a curated record.
AGGAAGAGGAGGAAGAGGAAGAGGAGGAGGGAGAGAGUGUGCAUUGAGCCACUGACUUCAGGCCAGUGUUCAGGUCCAUCUCUGCCCAUAUCACCCGUAUGGUUUCAGGAGUGUCCCAAGACCCCAGUUUCCUCUUUUGUCCAAAAGGAGGCUAUUGGGUCCUCCCCAGCUUCAAGCCCUCCAGAUCCUCUCUGCCCUGGAGCGGACACAGCUGAAGCUCCCCAUUCAGAAGUAAGUGGACUUUGAAGAGUAAAACCCCCAGAAUGCCCAGGCAGAGACAAAGCCCGUCCUGCUUUGCCUGCACUUAGAGCUCACACAUCCAGCCCAUGGAAGCAAAGUAUGUUCUUUUGGCUUUGCGACUUGGAAUCUCGCAAAGAUGGACAGAAGCAGCUACACCCAAAGAAAGAACACCGGGAAAUGAAUACAAACUGCUGGCAUUUCUGUUUUUCUUCCCGGGUUAUUUCUACCUUCUGAACCCAAUUCUCCCUGUGCAACAAGAGAACUGUUCGGUUCUGCACACAUGUAUUGUAUCUAGGAUAUACUGCAACCUAUUUAACAUGUAAAGGACCGCUUGCCAUUGGGGGGAGGGGGUGGAGGGAGGGGAAAAGUCGGAACAGAAGCGAGUGCAAGGGAUGAUGCUGUAAAAAAUUACCCUGGCAUGGGUUCUGUCAAUAAAAAGUUUUUUAAAAAAGAGACUUGGGAUCUCGGCUUUCCGAGAGCCUCCCCCUUUCUCCGUGUCUCUUGGAGAGAUUUUGUUGAAACUGUGGCUUCCAAAAAAGGCAAACCUUCCAGAGCCACGUCAGCCUCGCCCCUAGAACAUGUCCAGUUGCCUUCUCCCCGGUCUCCGGGAGUUCUCAGGACUGACCACUCUCCCAGGGUCCACUUACAGAACAGUUUUUUCUUCCAGUUAUUUAUGCCAAAGUCCAGGACUCUGGACUCCCCCAGCUUGUGGGCGGGGCUCUGGGGCUGUAAGGAAGGCAUCCUGUAGCCCCAGGAAAGCUGCGGUGCUGUCUAAGCAGAAGGUGCUGGUCAUUCACCAAACUAGCCUUUAGUAAGCACCUACUGUGUGCCUGACACCUGCUAAGACGUGAGGGGUGGGCACAGAAAGGCGACAACCAGCACUUCUAGAAGAGAAGGGAUGGGCGGGUGCUUGGAGGGGCCUGAGGCGCCCUAGGCUCCUCUAGGGCAGCUUUCCCUGGGCUCCCUCCCUGCUCUUCCAGAGCUGCCUCCCCUCCAUGGCUGGUAAAUAUUCUAAUAUGCAUCAAUUUUACAGGAGGAGGUUUUCACAGCAAACGCAGGGAAGGCAAAUACACAUUUAUCAGGGCCGGGGGGUGGGGGGGGGGGGGGGGGGGGGGGGGAACUGUGGCUAAUUUUCAGGUGAAAACAUCCCGGCGAGCAAGGCCCGUUUCUAUUCACGAAUCCCUGUGACUUUCCCUGGGGGCCCCUGAGACAUGCCCACCUGGCCUCUGCUCACCGGGCAGCCCCCGCUCUUCCCCGGGGCUCUCUGUGGGGUGCUCCGCCCCGGGGCUGCCGUGGUUCUGUGGCCAGGCUGUGUCGGGGCAUUCAGGCACGCCGGGGGCUUACUUCCAAUAGGAGGAGGCUCAGGGGAAGGAAGUGGCAGGAACCUCCUUCCUCCCUUCCGCAGCCCUCCCAGUAUGGAAAGUCCCGGGGCCUACGGGAGCCCGAGGGCUCACAGUCUAACAAAAGACAUUUAUCCUUGGCCAAGAAUCACAGAAUCAUCGAUUCAAAGCUGGAAGAGACUCGAGAAACCAUCGGCUCCAAUGCCUUCAUUUUUAUGGCUGAGGACACUGAGGCCCAGAAAGGUUCAGAAACGACCAAAGUCACGCAACUGGUGACGGUCGGAGACAGGAAGUGAGUUCAGGCCUUCCUGGCUUUGAUCUAGAAGCUAGCGCCAUAGAAUCUAGAACCACAGAACGCGGGGUUCCCCUUUCAGCUCUGCUUGUGCCCACUGACCUCAGCAGACCCCAGUAUAAUCUGUAUAAAAUAUGGAAAUUGGACCAGAGGACACAGAAUUCGCUUUGGAGACCGGGAGGUGGCAGAAUAAAAUAUGAUGGGCAGGGCCGUGACUUUGGAGUCACAGGUCCUGGGUUCAAAUCUCUCAUCUUACUUGUACCUCUCAGGUAGAUGACAUCCCCUGUGUGGGCUCAGGAGGACAAAAGGCAAGUCUGCAACCUGUCCCUGUGGAUGAGGGGACCGUGCCAUUAGACAAGCCUCAGAGGUGACUAGAAGAUGGAACAUGGUCCCUGACGAUCUCCUUCACACCAAGAAUUUGACUUGCACUUAGUAACUAAUUAAAUUAACUGGGCCUUAAUUGGCAACAAGAACAAACAAGAGACGAGUGGCCAGGAUGAGAAGUUCAAGUGACCCUGAUGACUCGAGCUAGGAAUUCUGCCAAAGCCUUCUCCAACCCAGGUAGUUCUUGGAACCUCAGUUUCCUCAUCUGCAAAAUGAAGCUUCCAGCCUUGAUGGCCUGUAUCGUCCCUCUCAGUCUGAAGACUGUGAGUCCCGAGAACUCCCGGAGACCGUGGAGAAGCUCAGUGGCACUGUAGGGCAGUGCUGUGGCUCUGGAUGAUGGGAGGUGCUCUCACCCUCGCCCAGUCACCACUGCAGUGAAACGAGGCUGCGUACAGUUCCCAGACUUUUUAGCCUGGUGUUUCAGAAAUGUCAGAUGCCUUCAGUGGGGACAACCACGGCUCUAGGUCAGCCAGCACAGCUCUAGGUCAGUUACCACGGCUCUAGGUCAGCCACCACGGCUCUAGGUCAGCCACCACGGCUCUAGGUCAGCCACCACGGCUCUAGGUCAGUUAUCACAUCUCUAGGUCAGCCACCACGGCUCUAGGUCAGCCACCAUGGCUCUAGGUCAGUUACCACAGCUCUAAGUCAGCCACCACGGCUAUAGGUCAGCCACCACGGCUCUAGGUCAGCCACCACGGCUCUAGGUCAGUUACCACGGCUCUAGGUCAGCCACCACGGCUCUAGGUCAGCCACCACGGCUCUAGGUCAGCCACCACGGCUCUAGGUCAGCCACCACGGCUCUAGGUCAGUUAUCACAUCUCUAGGUCAGCCACCACGGCUCUAGGUCAGCCACCACGGCUCUAGGUCAGUUAUCACAUCUCUAGGUCAGCCACCACGGCUCUAGGUCAGUUAUCACAUCUCUAGGUCAGCCACCACGGCUCUAGGUCAGUUAUCACAUCUCUAGGUCAGCCACCACGGCUCUAGGUCAGUUAUCACAUCUCUAGGUCAGCCACCACGGCUCUAGGUCAGUUAUCACAUCUCUAGGUCAGCCACCACGGCUCUAGGUCAGUUACCACGGCUCUAGGUCAGUUACCACGGCUCUAGGUCAGCCACCACGGCUCUAGGUCAGUUACCACGGCUCUAGGUCAGCCACCACGGCUCUAGGUCAGCCACCACGGCUCUAGGUCAGUUAUCAUAUUGCUAGGUCAGUUACCAUGCCGAUGGCAAAGUCUUCAAUCUGAAGCCUAGAAGCCAAAACUAGAGUGGGGGGAGCGAGGGUGCUUUGUAGGUUGCGGAUGAUUGUGCCCCGGAUUCAGCCUCUGACGCUGAGACGCACCGAGGAACGGAUGGGGUCUCUGAUCCCGGCUCAACGCCACCCAGAAAGCACAGGUCCCCGCCGCACUCUCGCCAAGCACGUGCACCUCAGACUGGUUAUGGAAACCUCGCCCGGGGCCGGAGCCCCCGCGGCCAGAAGGGCCCAAGGAGGCUCCCCAGGUCUCUCGGGAGAGCUUUGGAAUCGAUAGGAGAGACCCCGGCACAGGAGCCCCGGCGCCUCCUACAGAAGCCCUGUGCUCCCGGGGAGAAGGGAGUAGCUCAGAGGAGACCCGGCCGCACAGGGUUACGUUCCCACUCCCAAUGUUGGCUCUGUGGGGGCAUCGGGGGCACAGCGCCAGGGCGGGGGGCAGCUCCCCCUCCUCUCCCAGCACAAGGAGACUGAGCCAGGCAAGAGCGAUCUCGGGGCUCGGAAGCUCCCCACAAACAGGAGUCACAGGGAUUCGGGAGAACCUUCGCUCUGGAGAUGGCGCGCCCAAGGGCUUCCUGAUUGUGCCCCAAAGGGCUGCUUCCCAGCAGGGCAGGAGAGCCUCGAGUCCUGGAUGUGACUAAGGCCCUGAGCACAGAGUGCAGGCCGGCAGCCUCCUCCGGGCCGGACCGUGAACCCGCUCAGAAGCAAGCCCGGGUCUCGGAAUGUGCGUGUGGGGGGGUGAGGUCCUAGUCAUUCUAAAGAGCCUCCCACAGGCACGGCCGUCCACGCGCUGGCUUCCCGGACUCCUUUUGGACAGUUCCCAGGCAGCCUCUCUCCCUCCGCAAACGUUCCCUUGGCUCGGCCUCCGCUGCCCCGGUGGCUUCCUUGGUGCCUCCACGGACCCAGAGCCCAGUCUUUGGAAACCCAAGUUUUAAUAAAGGAAGGUUAGCCUUUGGGGAGGGGCAGGUGGAGGCCCUUCUGUGGCCCAAUCUCCGGAGCUGCCUCCCGGGAGGCCGGCUGUCAGAAGGAGGGUGGGAGGGAGGGCGGCAGCUCAUAGAGAAAUGGAGCUCCCUUCUCCUCCCCACCCCCGUCUCCCAGCUUCGGGGCUGGAGACGCUGACGGGGACAUCUUGUCGGUGUCCAAGCCUAGAUGGCAAAGAGCCACGGGGCUGGCGGGGGAGGAACGCGUGGCCCUGAGGGUGCUUUUGGUGCCGGGGCCUUGGGAUGAGGGGCAGCAGACCUGCCCCUGCCCCCUCCCCGGUCUUGGUCUGGCCGGAGCAGAGCGCCUUUGGGGGCAUCUUCCCUCCUCAGGGAGCAUCAGUGGGGAGGCUUUGGACAGCGACGUCUGGGGCAUGGGAAGGGGACCUGGGAACUCCCAUUGCGGAUUCCUUUCCUGUCAGUUCAAUAAAAAUAAAACUGAGACAGAACAGUUAGCCAGCUCCUGGCAGAAAUGGCCGCCCCCUAGGGCUAGAUUCUAAGCGGGCAUCAGGGCAGGAGAUCAGGGUCAGCGGGCACCAGGGCAGGAGGUCAGGGUCAGCGGGCACCAGGGCAGGAGGUCAGGGUCAGCGGGCACCAGGGCAGGAGGUCAGGGUCGGCGGGCACCAGGGCAGGAGGUCAGGGUCGGCGGGCACCAGGGCAGGAGGUCAGGGUCGGCGGGCACCAGGGCAGGAGGUCAGGGUCGGCGGGCACCAGGGCAGGAGGUCAGGGUCGGCGGGCACCAGGGCAGGAGGUCAGGGUCGGCGGGCACCAGGGCAGGAGGUCAGGGUCAGCGGGAACCAGGGCCUGGCUCCCACAUUGACUCCCCUGGUGGGAGCCUUGAAUCUAGGCAAAGUGGGCAGCUGGGUGCUGACAUCCCAGGCCAGGAGACAGGGUGGAUAAUCUAGGAGGAAAUGAAAGGUGGGAGGAAGUGAUGCUCUUCCAUUACUCUGCUGGUCCUCUGGGAGCAAUAGUCACUUAUGGCACUCUCAGGUCUGCAAAGCGCUUCACAGUCAUUCCCUGAUUUGAUCUUCACAACCCCCUGGGCUGGAAGUGAUUCCCAUCUCCUGUUCUACAGAUGAGGCAGCUGAGGCAGAGAGACGGGGUCACUUGCCUAGGAUUACCUGGCUGGUGGCUGCAGGAGCCAGAGGCCUCCACACAAGGACAUCCUCUGCUCUCCAGUGGAUAAAUCCUGCCCCGAAGUCCUUCUCCAAUGCUUGGUCUGGCAGAGAAGGGCCCCUGCACACGAGAAGGAAGAGCCCCUGCACACGAGAAGGGCCCCUGCACACGAGAAGGAAGGGCCCCUGCACACGAGAAGGGCCCCUGCACACGAGAAGGAAGGGCCCCUGCACACGAGAAGGGCCCCUGCACACGAGAAGGGUCCCUGCACACGAGAAGGAAGAGCCCCUGCACACGAGAAGGGCCCCUGCACACGAGAAGGAAGAGCCCCUGCACACGAGAAGGGCCCCUGCACA